Molecule: ribosomal RNA, 501 nt
Filed under: uncultured bacterium
Lineage: Bacteria
Description: partial 16S ribosomal RNA
Rfam family: Bacterial small subunit ribosomal RNA
Source: RNAcentral
AUUGAACGCUGGCGGCAGGCUUAACACAUGCAAGUCGAGCGGAGAGAGGUAGCUUGCUACUGAUCUUAGCGGCGGACGGGUGAGUAAUGCUUAGGAAUCUGCCUAUUAGUGGGGGACAACAUUUCGAAAGGAAUGCUAAUACCGCAUACGUCCUACGGGAGAAAGCAGGGGAUCUUCGGACCUUGCGCUAAUAGAUGAGCCUAAGUCGGAUUAGCUAGUUGGUGGGGUAAAGGCCCACCAAGGCGACGAGCUGUAGCGGGUCUGAGAGGAUGACCCGCCACACUGGGACUGAGACACGGCCCAGACUCCUACGGGAGGCAGCAGUGGGGAAUAUUGGACAAUGGGCGGAAGCCUGAUCCAGCCAUGCCGCGUGUGUGAAGAAGGCCUUAUGGUUGUAAAGCACUUUAAGCGAGGAGGAGGCUACUUUAGUUAAUACCUAGAGAUAGUGGACGUUACUCGCAGAAUAAGCACCGGCUAACUCUGUGCCAGCCGCCGCAGUAA